This 545-nucleotide ribosomal RNA is filed under the name uncultured bacterium. Its description in RNAcentral is "bacterial SSU rRNA". It matches the Rfam family "Bacterial small subunit ribosomal RNA", at positions 359 to 917 of the family's 1533-position model. The record is from RNAcentral.
GGAUUGCGCAAUGGGCGAAAGCCUGACGCAGCGACGCCGCGUGCGGGAUGAAGGCCUUCGGGUUGUAAACCGCUUUCAGCAGGGACGAAGCGAAAGUGACGGUACCUGCAGAAGAAGCGCCGGCUAACUACGUGCCAGCAGCCGCGGUAACACGUAGGGCGCAAGCGUUGUCCGGAAUUAUUGGGCGUAAAGAGCUCGUAGGUGGUCUGCCACGUCUGUUGUGAAAAUCCAGGGCUUAACCCUGGACUUGCUGCGGAUACGGGCAGACUAGAGGUAGGUAGGGGAGAAUGGAAUUCCCGGUGUAGCGGUGAAAUGCGCAGAUAUCGGGAGGAACACCGGUGGCGAAGGCGGUUCUCUGGGCCUUACCUGACACUGAGGAGCGAAAGCGUGGGGAGCGAACAGGAUUAGAUACCCUGGUAGUCCACGCCGUAAACGUUGGGCGCUAGGUGUGGGGUCCUUCCACGGAUUCCGUGCCGCAGCUAACGCAUUAAGCGCCCCGCCUGGGGAGUACGGCCGCAAGGCUAAAACUCAAAGGAAUUGACGGA